UGGAACACCUUGUUACAGUGAGGACA
RNAcentral lists this non-coding RNA (26 nucleotides) under Mus musculus (house mouse). The record is from RNAcentral. Lineage: Eukaryota; Metazoa; Chordata; Mammalia; Rodentia; Muridae.